This 12011-nucleotide long non-coding RNA is filed under the name Setaria viridis. RNAcentral describes it as "long non-coding RNA (SVIR_LNC002614)". The record is from RNAcentral. Lineage: Eukaryota; Viridiplantae; Streptophyta; Magnoliopsida; Poales; Poaceae.
CCUCUUUCACAUUUUCUAGCUGUCUUAGCUCCAGCUGACCACCAAGGUCGUCUAACCACCCAAGUUCUCCCACCUUACUGCAACCGGAUCCAGCACCUGCUACAAAGCAUGUAAGGGUCUGUAGGGAAGUGAGGUGUCUAAGGUCAGCAGGCAUGGUCUUUAACUUUUCACAUCCGUGAGUGUAGAGGUGACGGAGGGCAGUCAUGUACUUCAUUCCCUUUGGAAGUCGUUCAAGAUUGUGACAGUCAGAAAGGUUCAAUGUUUGCAGAUGAUAUAGGAUGCUUAUAUCUUUAGGAAGUGAUUUAAUAUCAUAGCUUCCUGAGAGAUCAAGAUACCUCAGGUGAUGAAGACAUCUGGGUCCGAGGAAUGAAGCUCGGUUGAUCUUUAUCUUUAGUGCUCGCGGAGACAUGUACUUUGACAAAAGCUGCAAGUCUACGUAUACAUCUGCCUCACAUAUCAGUGUUUGUAUAACGUCAUUAUCUUUAUCUUUAUCUUUAACUUUAUCUUUAGUGCCUUUCUCCUGGGAAUCAUUCAGAAAAGUUUCUAACAAUAAUAAAUGACGAGGUGAAUGUGGAAAAUCCCCACUUUUACUUAGAGCAGCGCAUUCUUUUCCCAUAGAAUCUAGUGCAACGUCAUGCAUAAGGUCAUGGAUCUUACAAGUAACUCUAGAGACCUCUAUAUCAGUGAACUCAAAUGGGAUCCCCUUCACAUCAUGGAAAAAUGACCUUGACGCAAGCUCAAUGAAAAUAUUUUUACCUGAAAUUUCAGGAUGUUCUUCUCCUUGUAGCACUGGGAUAAAACCAUUAGCCAUCCAUAACUGGAUCAACAUUUCCACGUCAAUCUCAUAAUCCUUGGGAAACAUAGCACAGAAAGCAAAGCAUUGCCGCAUAUGUGAUGGCAAGCAAUUGUAACUAAGCUUGAGUACUGGUAAGAUUCCGUUUCUAUCAUCACAAAUCUUUUUUCUCCUUAGCACAUCCUUCCAUUCACGCGCGGUGGUCUUGGUACUUAACACAGAGCCCAAUGCUGUAGCAGCUAAAGGAGAACCAGCACAUCUCUUUGCAACAUCACCAACCAUGUUAACUAGUUCACGAGGCCAAUCCUUUUCUUGUUUUGAGCUGAAUGCUCUUGACUUGAUAAUUUCCUCUAUGAAAUUUUCACCCAAGCGUCCAAGUUCAUAGGCUCCUUCAGCUGUACCCAUCAUUAGUUUUGCAACUUCUUGAUCACGAGUUGUUGUCAACACUGAGCUGCCACUGCCACCAUGAAGGUAGGACUUCAGUUUUUCCCACUUGUGUGCCUCAUCACGGUUCCAGACAUCAUCCAGUACAAGGAGGUACCUCUUCCCACUCACUGCAUUUUGAAGCUUGUCCAAUGCUGAACUUCCAUUUGCAUGACAACCAUUCUUCUUAGCUUCUUUCGUUUCAAACUUCUUCUUAGCUUCUUCCACAAUUCUUUUAGCCAGAGUAUCCACAUCAAAGUUGUCAGAGACGCACACCCAUAGUCGCAGCUGGAAAUGCUUCUGAAUCUCAGGAUCAUUGUAAACAAGCUGGGCUAAGGUGGUCUUCCCCAUCCCUCCCAUCCCGACGAUAGGAAAGACAGUGAGCUUCACAUUGCUAGCUUUAUCAAGUAACGACUUAAUAAUCUUCUCCUUGUCUCCAGCUCUGGAUCUGCCGGCAAUGUCCACAGGGUCGAUGAUUUUAGAACUAUUCUCCCUCAAGUGAUUUACGGGCACUGGUGGCCCUGGUCGGAAUUUGAACCCGAAACAAUUCAUCUCUGCGAUAAGGACAUCAAGUUCUUCCAAAAUCAUGCGGAGCUUGUUGCCCAUCCUUUUACGGAACACAAAACGGUUGUGAGAAGGGAAGAGCUUUAUUACAUCCAUGCCGAGCUCCUUGUAGUGCCCCUCCUCCCUGGCUUUGCGGCGGAGCGCCUCGUACUUGAACUCGUCCAAGACGUCAUUCGCCUGGUAGGCCACUUGCCGGACCUCCUCCAGCCAAGCUUUCGCCCCUUCUCGCUUGGCUGCCGCCUGCUCCUCGGCGUCGGUGAUGACGUCCAGGAUGGCCGGCAGUUUGCGCUUGAGGAGCUUGUGCUGCUUCUCCAAGCCCUCCAUCACCUGGUACUGCUCCAGGAGGUAGCUGGAGGCCUUCUCCUUCACCAUGGACACCAGUGGCCCGACCACCAUGGUGGCCAGUACCUCAGCCAUCGGAACGCCUGGAGCUCGAUCAGAACACACGCGCAGGAUAGUGGACACAGGGAAACACAGUUGCAAGGUGGAGAGGGUGGCGAAGGUAGACGAUGGGUUUGAGAAGCAGCUUUUGGGGAAAAUGGAGACUGCCAGCAUGCAUUGACCUUGGAGGACCCAAUUGGGAUGGGUUUGAUUGGUUGCACUAAAUUACAGCAAUAUAGAAUGACGUUUGUACAGAUGUGUUCCAGCUGUCCUGAUAGGGAUCGAAGACCAUCCAUGUCGGAGCAUUAUUGCAAUUUGCAGACCAUCCAUGUGGGCGCAAUAAAAUUACAAACAAUAUAGAAUGACGUUUGUACAUAUGUGUUCCACUUGUACAUCUUGAUCUGCAACUCUUCAAACAACGAGAAGCCAGCUUGAGGUGCCGUAUCACUAACCGCAAGUAUUAGACAGAGCAGAAUCCAGAAGCUACAUGGUUAAUUAACAAUAACCUUGAUCAAUGUGGAGCAACCGGCGAUGAAGCAGGAGGUUGUUGCGGGCCAGAGCAAGAUAUAUAGGGGAAGGAGCAGUGCGUGGCUAUCCAACAACCUAAUGAUUCGAGGGGUGUUCCUCACGCACACCUAAACAACAGUGAAAGGGUUCUAACUUUAAAGCAUGCUUGAGACUAUGACCAAAAGUGAUGCAUGUGUAGAAACCACCGGGAUUAAGAAUUAGAGAUGAGAAGUAACUCGCAAGUUGAAAAUUUAGACUUCAUGAAUUAAUGACGUCGAAGGAGUUUGAGUACAUGUUACUAUGUUAGGCAUGCUUGGAUGCAGAAUUGCGGAUACUGAUACUCGAUGACGAGGACCUCGAGAGUCUACUGUGUAGCAGUGUGGUUACAUACUUACAUUAGCCUUCACUGCAAGACAUAAGAAAAAACCUCUUGCUACAAUUUUGUCAGAUCACCAGCAUUUUCAUCUGACUUGGCAAUUUAUGAUGAGAGAACCGUCAGGUGAAGCCUGUCGUUUUCAGCUGUAUGGAUGUAUGUCAUUGCGUUUACAAUCAUACUUGGAUGGGUGACUCUACUUCCUUCUGUCCAUACAACAACACUACAGCGUACGCUGAUCUGGACCGCGGGUUGAUUUGCGGAAAAGACAGGGGCUUAAGAGCAAAAGCGGCGCGGCGCGGCAUAGUUGACCGGUACGCGGCUGGAUUGACUUGCCGUGAGCCGUCGGAUCUUGAUCCGACGGUCGCGGUCGUCGAUGACUCGCGGCGGCGGCGGGAAAAGAACGGGCGGCGGCGGUGAGCGGCGGUGCGCGACGGCGAGCGGCGGCGGUUCGCCGGAGUUGGCCGAAACGGUGCUCCGGGGCACGGUUGGCGCGCGGAUUUCACCAGAAGCAAGAGGAGAACACGGCGAACUCGUUUUGGGGGUCCUUGACGACCGGAGCUCACCGGAGGCAGCGCUUGACGGCGGGGAAGCGGCGGCGGCGCGGGAGCUCGGGCGCUAGGGUUUCGGGUGCUGCGGGCGCUGGUGGAGGAGACCGGGAGGGGCGGCGGCUUAUAUAGGCGCUUGGAGAUAGAGGCGGCGCCCCGGGUUUGAACUCCCCGAAAGAGUCGGAGCGGAGGCGGGCGGUUGCGUGUUGGCAGCGCGGCGGUUGCGGGAGUCCCGGCCGGAUACGGCCGGAGGAGGGAGAUGACGGGUGGGGCCCACCCGUCAGCGGACGCGGGCGUAGGCGGGCUGGCGCAGCUGUUGGGCCGGCGCGCGGUUCGCGGGCCGCGCGGCAGAGGAGAGGCGCUGGGCCGGCCAAGGGUGGAGCAGGCCGAGCGGCGAGUCGCGCGGGGAAAAGGAGCUGGGCCGGAGAAGCUGCGGUGCAGCUGGGCCGCAAGGAGAAGAAGAGGAGGGGGCCGGCGGGCGGUGGAAAGGCCGGGGAGCUGCGGCUCGGCUGGGCCGAAAGAAAGAAGAAAGAAGAAGAAGGAGAGAUGCGGCCCAGGUGGAGAAGAGGAAAAAGAAAGAGAAAGAGAAAAAGGAAAUGGUUUUGGAAAUUUGAAUUUAAAUUUGGAAAUUCAAAUUUUGAUUCAAACUCAAGCAAUCAAAAUAAAUGCACCAGCAUGAAUGCACAAUUAACUCCUAUGAUGAAUUUAAUUAAAUUAAAGAAAAUGAAUUUAAAUGCCUAGAAUUUAAAUGCACCCUAAUUUGAGCAAAUUUUAAUGAAUUUGAAUUGUUUAAAAUUUUGGGUGUUACACGCGCCGGGCUCGCCACCCGGGGAGCUGCGGCGGCUGGAGGUCGCCGGCUGGUGCUUCAUCCGAUUGUGCAUUUAUAAUCUUUCUUUUUAUCAUUUUGUAUCACAUUUUGAAUUUAUUUAAUGGACCUUAAUUUUGAACUACAUUUUUAACAUGGAAAUCUAUAUCCUCAUCACUUCCUUUAUAUAUCAUUAUAUUUAUAAAUGAUGACCCAAAUCAUGCGUAUAUAUUUUAAUUAUUAUUUUUUAUACUUAUAGUGUAAGAAAUAGACAAUUUAUACUAAGCGGUUAUUUUAAGUUAGUUUUUAUAAUGACAUAGGUGCUGAUUAUUAAUUGUUUAUUUCUUACUCUGUUAUUGGUAUAGAAAAUAAUAAUUAAGGUAUAUAUAUUCGUGAAAGGUGUCACCAUUUAUAAAUAUAUAAAGGAAGUGAAGAGAAUAUAGAUUUCCAUGUUAAAAUUAUAGUUGAAACUUAGAGUCCAUUAAAUAAAUUUAAACGCAUACUCGUGAUGUCAAGUGAAAAUGAAAGAUUAUAAAUGUGGAUGAAAACGUUACAUAGGAAUUACUAAGUAAUGUCUAUCACAAUAGGAUGAAGAUAAUAAUGUAUUUAUAUAUAAGUAUUGUAUUAGAAUAUUUAACAAAUGAGAGAGACCUCAAGGUAAGUUUGAAUUGUUAGCUAUGUUCCCUCAUUUUUUUUUCAAUCGGAGACUCAUCAUUAAUUCUCAAGAAACGUGCUAGGAAAAAAGGAUAAAUCAUAGAAAGUCUCGCAAAAAUUAGAAACAUCCGGCACCAAUCCUAUAAACUCUAAUAAUCAUAACUAUCCGUAUUAUCUUUGAUUACACAUUACUAUCAUUAUAAAAAUAUUCUAAAGUAAGCCUCUAAACCUAUAUCUAAAUUACCCAUCUCGGUUAUUAUAAAAAAAUAAUCUAAAGUAACCAAAUAAUCUUCAUCUAAAUUAUCCAUAUAUAUCGUUAUUAAAAAUAACCUAAUAUAAACACUUAAAUCAUAAUCUAAUUAUCUAAAUUAUCCAUAUAUAUCGUUAUUAAAAAUAACCUAAUAUAAACACUUAAAUCAUAAUCUAAUUAUCUAAAUUAUCAUUAUACAAAAAUAUUCAAAAGUAAAUCAAUAUAUGAUUAUAAAUUACCCAUUUUUAUUAUUGUAGAAACUAGUUAAGUAUAUAUGCAUGAUGGGUGUCACCAUUUAGACCGUUUAUACAUGUAUGGGAUGAAGCAAUGAAAAAGACUGAUUCUCAUGUCAAACAGGGUGUGAUUCAAAUUGAAAAAAAAAGUAUGAAUGUGAGGAAAAAGUAUAUAAAGUAAUUAUUAAUGAAAGUAAAAUCGGAUAAAGAUAAGUAUAUCUAUAUAAGAGUAUUGUGUUAGAAUAUUAAAUAAAUGAGAGAGGGAAGGUAAAUAAUUUUGAUGAUUAGUCAGGAGGUCUAAUUUUUAAAUAAUUUUUUAAUACAAUAAUUUUUGAAAUUAUUAGUCGCCCCAGCGGGGAGCACAGGUUGAUAAACUAGUGGUGCUAAUUAGGGGCUUACAUGCCUGUAUUUUUUUAAGUGGGUAGAGUAGCUCCCAUAAAGCUCAGGUCAUCUGUUCAAUCUUCCUUCCUUUCGUAUUUUAGCACCAACCAAGCAAGCAGUUACUGGAAAUCUGGAAAUCAAUUGGGACGUCCAACAAAGCACUCGGUUGUGUAUGUAGUCUUAUGGGUCGGGUAUGAGCAGGGUUACUUGCCCCGAUCAGAUUUAAGCCAUAGCCAACACUUUCCCGUUCUAAAUUAUGUAUUGUUUUAGUUUCUAUACUAUAUAUUUAGAUUUAUGUUAUAACUAAAUUUAUAUGUAUCUGAAAAAGUUAAAAUGACUAUAAUUGAACGAAGGAAGCACUGGGUGUAACUUUUUCCACUGCCUAAGACGUGAUAAAUGGUCCAGUCUAGACUGUAGAGACAGACUAGUACCUAUCGAAGCUCCUAAUUCUCUUAUUAUUCCAAUCAAAGUUAAUAAAAUGUGAUGUAGGCGGACAUCGAUGAGGGUGACUUUUCCUGAUUAUCACGUCGAGUCUGAAUUCUUCACUGAUCGAUCCAUGUCGCAGAGAGCGGAGGCGGUACGCUUCGAACUGCAGCACGCGCGCCGCAACUACGCGGACGGAGAAGAAGAGAAUAUAGUGCAACAAUGAACAAUCAAACCGCUGGACGUGAAAAGUCUACGACGCGACCAUCAAUCCCCGGCGAGCCACGCCGCCGCGGUCUUCGUUCGGCAACACUGACCCCUUGCUGGCCGUGUUGCCGCGUGCCACGAGAUACCCAGCCUCACGCAAACACGCACGAUCACACACACACACACAAACGAAAACGAAAAGGGGAAAGCUCUCGAUCGAUCUCCAUGGACUCCAAGGAUGGCGCCGCCGCAGCGUCCGGUGAGGGUAGUAGGCUGCGCCGUAUCAUCGCAGGCGCCGGUCCAGUUCCUGCCCGUCGCCGGCCAGCUUGCGCUGUCGUUCUACGGCGUGCGCGAGGAGCCCCAGCGGCUGCAGCUGCUGGCCUCCAUCGCCCUCUGCUACGCGGCGGCCGUGGCGCUCGCGUUGUUCACCAGGCGGCUGGAUGCCUCUCCUGCUGUUCCUGGCGUCCCAUCGCCGUACCAAAAUGGCUUCUAAUUACCAAGUCCUCCAUGCCCACCAUUUUGCUCUUGGCAUUCAUAUGGAUAUGAACCUGCUACUGGAUCGAGGUGCCAUGAUCCUGCCGAGAAUCAGUUCAGAUCAAUUCCUGGUGCAACUAUAAUUAGUGAUCUGAUACGGUAUGCAUUUCUAGUGUGGCUGCUGUUUGAGCCCUGUUUCAAUAUAUAAUUGAACUAGUGCUGGCGGAUUUAGUUGGAAGUUUUACGAGUGGGUGUUGAUAUGUUCCAAAUAAGAUGCAGGUGGAUUUAGCAGUUCCAACAACUCAAGCCCAUAUUUCACCAAUAAGAGUUUAAACUGGGCCUUUUCAGGCCCAAUGGCAAAAGAGCAGCUGACGAGUGACGAUUUUUAUUCAAAUGAGAUGCAAUCCGGUCGCAAAGAACUCCUCGUUCAAAUGAUAUGGAUAUGGAGAUCAACAAUUUGUUUUGGAUGUAUAAAGAUCAAUAAUUUGUCCGACACUAUUGUAUCCAAACUAUCGCUCUCAAGAUUAGUACAGCACGUCACAGAAUCUUUAUCCAUGAUUUGUCACAGAAUGCGGCUCCUUUGUUAACUGCGGCAGCGUAGACAAACAGACGUGCAACUCUGAAAGAUCAAACGAUUGGAUAAACAACUCUGGCCCUCGUCGCCCUUGCCUACGCGGCCGUCGCCGCACUCGUGUGGUUCAGCAGGGGGCUCCCCGCCGACGGCAGCACGCACUGGAAGAAGCUGGCGGCCACAGGCGUCGGCGGCGUUCUGGCAUACUGCACCAACCCUACGGUGCCGUGCGGUCUGUUCCUAUUCAUAUACAUACUCUGAUGAGUAGUACAAUCUGCCGGCGUUGCCAUGAUCCAAGGAAUUUAAGUCUACUAGGGGCGUCAAUUGCUUGGGGCCUGUUUUGGACACAAUAAUUUUGUAGUAAGAUUUUCGCAGGAAUCUCACAAGCAUAUGUUCAGUUUUACAUGAAUUAGGAUUUACGAGUUUAGUGAUAGUCUGCUCCUUUCUGAUUGUCCCUGUGCCUGCUCUUUUCUGCAUGAUUAGUUGGCUGCUCUGUUUUCGGAUUUAUUGGAAGCUGAAGUCUUUUGGUUGAUGCACUUUAGUGAUAUGUGUUCUUUAUGCACUUUAGUUUUCAACACCCUGCUGUAGGAUGCAGUUUGCCAUGCCCAGCAUAUAUUUAUCGAAAUGACAAGCCUCCAAAACUUUGCGUAACGUGCGUUGCAAAUGAAGGCUUAUGGUAAUGUUAGCUGUCUGGUGCACUAAGUAUGUGUGGGUACUAAUCACCCUCUGCUUUAUUUCACCAUGCUAGAAUUGCAGACCAUGUGCCUUGGCGGAUCACCGGCCGGUGCCUUUCCUGGCUCUUCUCAGUCAUGCAGCUAUUUGCAUUGACCUUUUUGUCCUGGCGCUUCCAGGACGACUUUGUUGUCUUUACAAAUAAAUUGUUCUCAGGACCAAUUUCUUAUGGCUCAUGGUAUCGUUAAUUCGUUAUGGACCAUGACGCAGCAUCGCUGAUUUUGUAACUCUGAAUUCUGUAUUGUAGGGAAGUUAGUUACAGAAUAACUUUCUCACCAUUUUUUUUCAUGUAAAAUGAUGAUCUCCGAACUAAUUUCUUAUAAUUCAUCGCAAUCACCGUUCUUUUCAAUUUCAUUGGAGACUUAACAGGGGAAAAGACGCUGCAAGAGAAACAAGACUUAACAAUAAAACUUAUGCACAAGAUUGGACUAUACGAAGACUUGCAGGAUCGCCCUGCACACCAUUCAGUAUUAGAUACACACAUGGAAUGAAGUUCAUCACAUUCAGUGCAUUUCAAUCAGCAGCUUAAAAUAGCUUGUCGAACAACAAGUAUCUUCUGUAGUCAUGUAGAAAAACACAUCCUUACAUCCAGUGUUGGUUGUGUUUCACUUAUGCUGGAGCGCACACCUAUUCAAACACGUCACACUUGAAAAAAACAAAGAAGGAUUAAAAACUGGAGCAUGCAUCUCUGUAUGCUAAAUUCUUCCGUUUGCAGUCUGGCAUUUGUUUUAUGCUCAAAAUCAAGUCCUUCAGCUUGACUUCACUGGUGAUAAUCUUCAGAAAGGGCAAAUGUAUCUCAGUCACAAUAAUCCAUCAUUUGCAGCCCUGGCAACAAUCCUACAAAGAUGUCAAACACAGGAGUCACCAUUACAAGCUAGUGUCAUACAAAAUCAAUCAUCAGGCACAUGAAUAUUACGAACCAUGGUAAUUACUUUCAUCAGGUCUUCAAUCUACUAUUUCAAGCAUGCCAGCCGCCUCCUAAUUGAAUAUUCCCAUCCUAGCAGGUCAGGUCGUGAUCAUAGAUGGUGUCAGAAGUUAUGCAUGCAAAUCAACACCAAAUUGGAAAGUAUAUAUACAGGAGAAUGACUGUAUACGGCAUCUACAAGCAAAAAAUAUGUUAUAUGUAAAAAGGCAUCAGGCAUUUAAACAAAAUUACACAUAUUCAAACCUUAUGUCAUGGAGCUAGUGAAUUUCGAGAAAAAACGUUAAGACAACUAACAGGGAAAAUAAUCACAGAGAGCAGUCAGCUGUAGCAUACAGUAUUGGUUCAAAAUGACAGGAAAAAUAAAUUCAUCAGCCACUUGGAUUAGAACUAAUAUAGUUUGGCUGCAGUAAUUCCAUCAUGCCACACUUUAAUAUGUUAGUAAAGGAAGUUUGACUGAUUAUACGUGAUUUGAAUUAGCUUUUACAACCGAGGUAACAAGGACGGCAAAGAUCAUCUGAUAACUAAAUUCCUUUGAGGGACAAGAGAAGAGAUGCACAAGGAUGACUACACUAAAGUGCAUCAUUAAUUUCUGCCUACACUUGUUGACUGAAUUUUACUAGAGGUUCUAAACACCGUUAAAACUUUUUAAUCACUAAAUUGUACUACCACAUCUUGUCGUAACUACUAGUAUGCUUAUUAAGUCAAUAGUUGCUUUUUUGCCAAAACACCAAUUGAAUUCCUGGUCACUUUAUUAAAAGAAAUGGAAAAAAAAAAGACCGGAGGUUACCUUCGUAACGGACAUCUAGUGUUUUCUCCUCGAGAUAAUCCAGACGUUGUUGUAGGCUCGGGGGAAGUAACUUUAUACUAGGACAAGAUUCAAUCCUAAGAGCUCUAAGAUCUGAGUACGCUUGAGGCCCAUUCGGUAAGGAUUGCAGGCUUCUGCAAUCACGAAGGCGGAGGUCUUCCAGCGACGGGAGCCUUCCUAAGCAAGAUUCCAGUGAUUUCAAUUUACUGCAGUCCGCAAUACGUAAUGUUUGGAGGGCAUCCAGCUGUCCUGAUAGGGAUCGAAGAUUAUCGCAGCCAUGAAUCGACAAGAUCUUGAUGGACGGAGGAAGAUUGGCAACCUCUGACAAACCAGGGCAAUACAAUAUGUAUAGCGAUUCUAGGCAUGGAAGGAAGGGAUGGCUGGUUGAUGAUGACAACUUUAGUACAGCUGUAGACACCCUGGCCUCACUGCUGGAUGCCGGAAUUAGUGAUGACGUAUCCUCCUGUUGACCGAAUAUGAUGGACCCGAGCAUAUCGCAGUUUUCAAUAUGUAAUGUCUUGAGAGAUGCUGGUAGGUUGGGAACCUCUACCAAAGAUGGACAGAAACUUAACUGUAGAGACUCUAGACAUGGCAGGAGUCCACUCCGUUCCGGAGCAGAUUGCUCAGACGUUUCUUGUGUGCGUCCAGUCAGUUUGCUGCAUUGCCAAAUAUAUAACGUCCUCAAGGAUAACAGGGCCUGGAACACGUUUUCUGGCCAAUAGACAAGAGCGUCGCAUUCACAAAUUUUUAAAUCUACGAGCUGUGCAAAACAUGUCCAUAGUGGCAGUGCACUUGAGUGGGAGAACAAAAGGUUGUAUCUCCGUAAAACCAUACGUGUCAGAGGGGAUCUAUGCUCCCAUUUCUCCCUGCCAUGCACCAACUCACUCGAAUUUUGUUCAGCCACCGAUUCUGUUUCUGUGUUAUCGCCAAACAACCUCAGGCUGGACGAUGAAGUGAUAUAUCUGCUAGCUGCGUGCAGGGACAAUAUUUGUUGGCUGGCUCCUUGUACUUCUAAUACACUUAGCUUAGGUGCUUCGGGUAGAGUAGUCAACGCUGGGCAACUCCGAAUUAUUAGUUUCUCAAGCCGAUGAAAUGUUAGCUCUUCUCCUGGAGUUCCUUCGCCAUCCUCCCAUCGCUGAAACAUCUCAAGAUUUUCUAAUUCCAUUUCCUUCAAUGCUGGAAAUGCAGACUUGUACUCAGUCUUGACCCCUUCAGAUGUUUCUUUAAUUACUGAUGCUUUCGGCAAUGCAGCCAGACUUUUACACUCGUUGAUUAACAGCUUCUCAAGCAGAGGAAACAUUGGCAUUUCUCCUCGCACCUCACUUGUGCCCCACCAUAUCUCAAAGUUUGGCAACUUAAAAAUUGCAAGGUUCUUCAGUUUCUGAAAUGUGAAGGCUGUAUCACUGCUGCACAAGUAACGUAUGUUUUCCAAUCCGCACAAGCAAAGAAUUUGCAGAGCUGGUAACUGCCAGAAUGCAGGAAGAUUCUCGAGUCUUUUGCAAUCCGAUAACUCAAGCUCCACUAUGCCUUGCAACUUAUUCAUCCAUGUUGGACAAGUGUCGAUACCGCAGGAAUAUAUCUUUAGAACCUUCAGCCCAUCAUGAGGCUCCAGACCUUCCAGCACCUCUUUAUCACUAUUAUGUGCCUCCUUGUCACAAUCACUCCAUCUCAAUGUCAAUCUGGCCAGUUUUUUCUUAUUUCCGAGUUUUGCCUCUUUUGCAUCUGCCUCUUUCACAUUUUCUAGCUGUUUUAGCUCCAGCUGACCACCAAGGUCGUCUAACCGCCUCAGUUCUCCCACCCUACUGCAAUCAGAGCCUGCACCUGCUACAAAGCAUGUCAGCGUCUGUAGGGAAGUGAGGUGUCUGAGGUCAGCAGGCAUGCUCUUUAACUUCAAACAUCCGUGAGUGUAGAGGUGACGGAGGGCAGUCAUGUACUUCAUUCCCUUUGGAAGUCGUUCAAGAU